GGAAGUAAAGUCGUAACAAGGUUUCCGUAGGUGAACCUGCGGAAGGAUCAUUGUUGAAUGAAACACUUCUGGCUUUAUGCUGUUGUGCUGGCCCUUUGGGCAAUGUGCACACGGCUCUGGUCACUUGUUUCUUCUGUUCCACCUGUGCACUGCCUGUAGACACGCUGUGUCUAUGAUAUUUGUUAACACACAACAAUGUUAGUUGGCAUGUUAUAUAUAAUAAUAAAAUAUACAACUCUCAACAACGGAUCUCUUGGCUCUC
This 262-nucleotide unclassified non-coding RNA is filed under the name plant metagenome. RNAcentral's name for it is "partial contains small subunit ribosomal RNA, internal transcribed spacer 1, and 5.8S ribosomal RNA". The stretch from base 1 to 53 matches the Rfam family "Eukaryotic small subunit ribosomal RNA", at positions 1778 to 1831 of the family's 1831-position model. The record is from RNAcentral.